Molecule: ribosomal RNA, 384 nt
Filed under: uncultured bacterium
Lineage: Bacteria
Description: bacterial SSU rRNA
Rfam family: Bacterial small subunit ribosomal RNA
Source: RNAcentral
AUUGAACGCUGGCGGCAUGCCUUACACAUGCAAGUCGAACGGUAACGCGGGGCAACCUGGCGACGAGUGGCGAACGGGUGAGUAAUGCAUCGGAACGUGCCCAGUAGUGGGGGAUAGCCCGGCGAAAGCCGGAUUAAUACCGCAUACGACCUACGGGUGAAAGCGGGGGACCGUAAGGCCUCGCGCUAUUGGAGCGGCCGAUGUCAGAUUAGGUAGUUGGUGGGGUAAAGGCUCACCAAGCCAACGAUCUGUAGCUGGUCUGAGAGGACGACCAGCCACACUGGGACUGAGACACGGCCCAGACUCCUACGGGAGGCAGCAGUGGGGAAUUUUGGACAAUGGGCGCAAGCCUGAUCCAGCCAUGCCGCGUGCGUGAAGAAGGCC